GUUGUGCAGUGUUGGUGCAGUUAGUCGAAAAAAGUGAUUUUCAUCAAGAAAACAACAUAAAACCAAGCAGCGGGCGUUCAAAUUGAGAAAAGCUGAUCAAAAAUUAAAAUAAAUUGGCUGUGGCGGAAAAGUGCGACUGGAAGCAACACACCGAACACAACUCGAACCCUACCGACGCCGCCGCCUUUCGCAAAGCUACUUCGCACACGUGCGAAAGAUAAAACAUAUUCUCCUCCUUCGUGGCGCAAUCUCUUCCACUUUUCACGCACGAGCGAAAUUUGUCUCACGCCGGCGGACAUCAGUGUCACGCCACUUUCCGGUUCGCCUUUCUGCGAGCGUGCACCCGAACGCAAAUAUGGAAAUAAAACUCGCUCAAAAGAAAUGCGAAUGAUAUUGAUGUCGACUGAGAGAGUUUGUGCACUCGGUGAAGACUCAGUUGAAGAUGACGCAGAGGGAGAGUUGGAGAUUUUGCAGUCUGUCCGUGGGGAAUAUGGGUGGAGCUGCCGCCGCGAACGUAAAUGUUUUAUAAAACGCGUCGCGUGACAAAUGCGCCACGGUGUGUAUACAUUCACGCACAUACACGAUUUGUCUUCCUUUUUUGGACUUUGAGCGCUCUCUGUGAGGGUGAGUUCCUUUUAGCGAGCACGUACCGGUGUCCUACGACGUUGUUACAAAUUAGGUUACCACUUCGCAAUUUGUGCGAAGUAUUAAAACCCGCAAAAGUCUUCAUAUCCUUUUCAUUCUUUGUGCUUUGGAACAUCGAUUGGAUCACUCGAGUUGAAAUUACUAAUGGUCUGGGACACCAUUCAGCGGAGUAUCUCAAGUUUGAUGAUUACCUUUGAAUCAAUUCGAACUUCUAUCGAAAGGAGAAUUCGAUUCGUGGCAGCGCUCCCAGUGGCGAGGCCCCUGGGACGCCGAGUCAGAUCUCGUCCGACGUUUGUUGAUCCAGACGCGGUGCUUUCAUAAUUAGAUAUGAUUUCUAAAGCUGCGCUUUCUUCGCCUCGCAGCGAGUAGUGGGUAAUGGGGUAAGUAAAUGACGUGCCACUUGUUUAAUUCUCGUUUCGAUGCGGGUGGGGCAAAGCCGGAAAUUUAUGUAAUUCCGAUUGCCGUUUGCGCUAUGUUGCGAAGUAUUUUCGUUGAAUUUGCAUUACGCCGGGGUGGAAGUAAUGCUUUGAUAGUAUGCAUUCGGGUAUUCGAGCAAAUGUUUCAUAGUAAUAUUACUAGUGAUCAAAUACAUCGUGUUUCCACAUAA
Long non-coding RNA from Dalotia coriaria, 1252 nucleotides. RefSeq lists it as uncharacterized. The record is from RefSeq and is a predicted model, not a curated record. Lineage: Eukaryota; Metazoa; Arthropoda; Insecta; Coleoptera; Staphylinidae. The transcript has 5 exons.